GUGGAAUAUUGGACAAUGGGCGCAAGCCUGAUCCAGCCAUUCCUCGUGGGUGAAGAAGGACUUCGGGUUGUAAUGCCCUUUUGUUGGGCAAGAAAACCAGCCGGCCAAUACCCGCUUUUUCUGACGGUACCCAACGCAUAAUCACCGGCUAACCUCGUGCCAGCAGCCGCGGUAAUACGAAGGGUGCAAGCGUUACUCGGAAUUACUGGGCGUAAAGCGUGCGUAGGUGGUGGUUUAAGUCCGUUGUGAAAGCCCUGGGCUCAACCUGGGAACUGCAGUGGAUACUGGAUCACUAGAGUGUGGCAGAGGGUAGUGGAAUUCCCGGUGUAGCAGUGAAAUGCGUAGAGAUCGGGAGGAACAUCAGUGGCGAAGGCGACUGCCUGGGCCAACACUGACACUGAGGCACGAAAGCGUGGGGAGCAAACA
RNAcentral lists this ribosomal RNA (426 nucleotides) under uncultured Lysobacteraceae bacterium. RNAcentral's name for it is "bacterial SSU rRNA". It matches the Rfam family "Bacterial small subunit ribosomal RNA", at positions 356 to 774 of the family's 1533-position model. The record is from RNAcentral. Lineage: Bacteria; Pseudomonadati; Pseudomonadota; Gammaproteobacteria; Lysobacterales; Lysobacteraceae.